Molecule: unclassified non-coding RNA, 391 nt
Filed under: soil metagenome
Description: partial contains 5.8S ribosomal RNA, internal transcribed spacer 2, and large subunit ribosomal RNA
Rfam family: 5.8S ribosomal RNA (bases 1-122)
Source: RNAcentral
GAUGAAGAACGCAGCGAAAUGCGAUACUUGGUGUGAAUUGCAGAAUCCCGUGAACCAUCGAGUCUUUGAACGCAAGUUGCGCCCGAAGCCAUUAGGCCGAGGGCACGCCUGCCUGGGCGUCACACGUCGUUGCCCCCCCAUCUACUCCUUCGGGAUUGCGGGGGGCGGAUGAUGGCCUCCCGUGCGCCUCGUCGCGCGGUUGGCACAAAUGCCAAGUCCUCGGCGACGCACGCCACGACAAUCGGUGGUUGCGAAACCUCGGUUGCCCGUCGUGUGCGGUCGUCGCGCAUCGAGGGCUCGAAAAAAUUGCCGGGCUCCGGCUCGGCUUUCAACGCGACCCCAGGUCAGGCGGGGUUACCCGCUGAAUUUAAGCAUAUCAAUAAGCGGAGGA